GAUGAACGCUGGCGGCGUGCCUAAUACAUGCAAGUCGAACGCGCAGCGAAAGGUGCUUGCACCUUUCAAGCGAGUGGCGAACGGGUGAGUAGCACGUGGAUAACCUGCCUCAAGGCUGGGGAUAACAUUUGGAAACAGAUGCUAAUACCGAAUAAAACUUAGUAUCGCAUGAUACAAAGUUAAAAGGCGCUACGGCGUCACCUAGAGAUGGAUCCGCGGUGCAUUAGUUAGUUGGUGGGGUAAAGGCUUACCAAGACGAUGAUGCAUAGCCGAGUUGAGGGACUGAUCGGCCACAUUGGGACUGAGACACGGCCCAAACUCCUACGGGAGGCUGCAGUAGGGAAUCUUCCACAAUGGGCGCAAGCCUGAUGGAGCAACGCCGCGUGUGUGAUGAAGGCUUUCGGGUCAUAAAGCACUGUUGUAUGGGAAGAAAUGCUAAAAUAGGGAAUGAUUUUAGUUUGACGGUACCAUACCAGAAAGGGACGGCUAAAUACGUGCCAGCAGCCGCCGUAA
RNAcentral lists this ribosomal RNA (513 nucleotides) under uncultured bacterium. RNAcentral's name for it is "partial 16S ribosomal RNA". It matches the Rfam family "Bacterial small subunit ribosomal RNA", at positions 28 to 523 of the family's 1533-position model. The record is from RNAcentral.